UUUUUUUUUUUCAGUCAUUCUGGUUAAAAUGUCUUCAAGUAGCUCCAAAUAACAUAAAGGCCUAGCUUCAAGACAGCUGUCUAGAGUGUUUUUAUAGUCAGUUGUCAGAAUUGAGAUCUUGGAGGGACCAAUUAUCCCCGACCAGGUAGGUCAGAUGAACUGUGCCUUAGAAGUGCCUGCACAGGGAGUCAAUGGUGCCUCUGCUUCUGAUUUCAAUGCCAAGGCUUUGGCACAAUGAUAAUGGUCCACUGUGUCUCAUCUGUAGGUUGAUUGUUAUUUCUUAUGAAAAGUUUGGCAAAAAGAAAAGGUGUAGGUUUUGAUAUUGUGACAAUUUUUAGAAGUAUUUGUGCAGGGCACUACAUUGAAUUUUUAAAAUGCUCUCUGGAUCAUCAUCUUCAGGUAACCUAGUUUAAGAAAUCUGGAUUAUAUUCAAGGGCCUGGCUACACUUACACAGAAAAUAAUAAAGAACAUACUAUAUUUGCCCUCAAUAUGUAUUCUAUAUAUUGAGAGAAUAUAUAAUGGAACACACAGAACCAUGAAGAAAUAAAAAUAAAUGUAAAAACUUUCAAGGACAAGACUUGGCUCAAAUAUGUGGUACAUGAAACUUGGAGUACUCCAGGCCGCAUCCCCAGCCCUCAGGGAGCAAACCACUACCCCCUGCACACAUCCACAGGGAAUUCGCACCAUUUAAAGGGCUGAUUUUCUUAUGCAAGCUAGAUGCUGAUAGAACUCUGCUGCAUGGGAAAGUAAGAUCAGGCCAAGGCAGGGGAUUGUGCUAGUAUUUGGCUUUGGACACCAAAGAAGAGCUAACAGAACUGGGAAGGAUGACUGGAGCCCUUACUACAUCUAAAGAAAAAGAGUCUGCUGUGUUAUAAGAGAAAAAAAAAUGUGGAGGGGAAAAAAAAAAGAGCUUACAGGAUUUGAAAACAGUAUGAAAAUUUAUUUUAAAAAUUAAUAAACAGACAGAGGGACAUCACAAAGAAUGAAAGUAGAGACUCUUGUGUGUCAAUACAGGUGCAGGUACACACACAUAUACACAGAGUGAAGCUGUUUAGAGGGCUGUUAUGCCCAAGUGCUGUUUGUGCACAUUUGAAGUGUCACUGCUCUGUAUCCCUCCAAACUUUUUAAAUGCACUGGAGAACUUUUCUGAAUGGCCCUUAGAGUAGCUUGUCCAAAAAGGAUUUCUCAUUAGACGCCUUUAAAUUGCCAUAGCUCUGAGAUGGGAUACACUGUGACUGACACAUUAAAUGGAUAAUUUAAAGAAAUAUUAGGGAAAUUCAGAAAUAUAAUUUAUGGUAGAUUCCUCCCUGUAAUGUAACCAAACUAUUAAAUUUCUUCAUGAAAGUUCUGAAGCACAUAAUUUUCAGUACUGAAAUUGAGGGGCUGCCAAGUGCCUGAGAAAUAUGGGUGGCAGGGAGAUUAAAGUGAAUGGCAGCCUGCAGGAUGACAGCUGCUGGAGUGAUAUCUUCACCACCUGUGGAACCUGCUCCUGCUCUGACAAGCAUUAAUGCUCAUUCCUAAUACUUAGUAAUCUCUAAGCUACAUGUAUAGUUAAAAACUGACACAGCUGAAAAUUUGUCUCAGCUGCACCCAAGCAAUGCCCACAUCAAAGGAUAGAGCACAAAAAUAUCCUCCAUUUACACAAUAAGAAUUGGUUACAUAAUAGCUUAACCAAACAUUGUGAGAUGAACAGGGAUGACAGAGCCAUAGAGGGAUGUAUGUGGCUUAUUCCUUGUGUCCUGAAGCUUUCACUGUGUCUUGUUGAACCAGCUGUUUUUAUACUGUCCAUUCAACGUUAUCUUGGUCCUCUAAAAUUUAUGAAGACAUACCUACCAACCACAGCAACAAAUUAGGAGGAGAUUAGAGAACUCCUUAUCUACUGAAAAGAUCCAUGUUUAAGUAAGCUGCCCUAGCUUCUCAUAAUCUAAGUUUAUUCGGACACCCAUAAGGGCUCAUAAACACAGGUCAUUUUUCCCAACUCGUUUAAAGCGUUGUUUCUUUAAGAGAAUUGUGCUUUUCUUCAUGCUGGGUACUGGUUCACAAGCUGGACAGAGUCUUCUGUAAUUCAGCCCAGCAGAGCAUGGGAUUCCUUGCAAUGACACAAUGAAAUCCAUCUGCUGAGGAUGGGACCUAAAAUGUGCCAGCAGCUCAGAGGAUGGAAAAUCAGUGGCCAAAACUUUACAUCCCUCCAUCAGAAGAGCAGAUCUGCUUAUCUAUCCACAGCUCUGACCCACACUCUGAACUCAUCCACCGGGAUCUACCUCCAGUCAGUGGAAUGAGGCAGGCACGCCCAAAGGGACUUGAUUCCUCCUAAGUUGGCAUGAAGCACCUAUGGAAUCUCUUAUCCAGGCACCUGGAUGUCCAUUUGCAUAUCUCUCCAUGGACAACACCAGGGAAUCAUAGAAUGAUUGGGUUAGAAGGGACUUUCAAAAAUCAUCCUCUUUCACUAGACCAGCUUGCUCAAAGGCCCAUACAGUCUGGCUCUGAACACCUCCAGAAAUGGAGCAUCCACAGAUUCUCUGGGCAGCCUCUCCCAAUGUAUGAUACAUUCAGGUGACCUGUAUACACACAUCACAUCAAAACACACGGAAAAGCCCAGACCCUGAUCUCACUUUGGUGAGGUCAAAGGCAUUUCAGACUGAGUAUCUCUUCCAAAUAGACCUAUCUCACAGUCCAUGCUGGGGGACAGGGUCUGAACGGCCACCUGUCAUGGCUAGGUGCUGUGACAGUCACCAGUUAUCUACCUACCAGCUUCAUCAUCUCUCCUUUCCCUGUGAAAUUCAUUACUGGAAACCUUUUUCCCCAGAGUGCUUUAUUUUCAGAUUUGCCUUCGUCUUGCUUGCAUUAUUUUUCUUUUAAGAUGAAGAUAUUAUUAUUAUUAUUAUUCAGCUUUCAUUUCCAAGGCACUGGUCAUUUGUCACAAAGUAUGCAUGUCUAUAAAUAUUGCCAUACCGCUGUCACCCUUACUUGUCUGGCAGAGGGUUUUCUGACACAGACUGAUGGCACUGGAGCUGCCUGGGACCACCACUGCCAGUGUAUUUGAGCAUAACUACUGACCUGUUGACAAGGUCAGUGGAAGAAGAACCAGAGCAGUGAUGGGUACCAAAACAGGGUAGUUCCCAAUUAAUGCCAGUAUCCUUGCUCAUCCAUUUAAGUAGCUUCACCAGGACUUGUUCCUCCAGGUGCUUUGCAGUCACCAGCAGCAUUGGUAAUCAGAUGUGCUUCUCAGAUCUGUGGGAAGCACCAUGCCAGAAGCAUUCCUCAGAGCAAGAGAGUUUAUUUAUCUUAUUCUAGGCAGAUCAAUGUUUUGUUGAAUCUGGCUGCAACUUUCAUAGGAUAAUUAAUGCACAUAUCUUCUAUUAAUGACUUAAUUUCAAUAAGUAUCUGUAUCUGCCCCUAAAGUGGCAUGUCAGUUACAUAGAUUUGUCAUCAAUAGUUAAAUUAAUCCUGCCCUCAAAUUUAUGAUUCAUGUGCUACCAUAGAAAACCAAAUACUAAGUUUAAUUAGCUCCUGGACUAAUUACUUAAAUUUAUUUUUAAAAAAUCCUCUGAAGCAUUCCUAGCCAAGCAUUAGUGAGACUACUGCUGGUUAGAAAGGUACUAAUGAGCCACCAGCAGAAAAUAAAGUCAACAGGAAUGCAAUGCCUGGGCAAGCAGCCUCCCUCCAGCACAAUACCAGACUACCAUGGCCCGUGAUGUCUAUCAGAUUGAUAACUAUUAAAUAAUGACUAAAUGCACUACUUUUAUUGAAUGCUUCUUUUUUUAUCAGCCUCAGAAGGACCAAAGAGAUGUUGGGAUGUGGAAGCCUCAAAUUUGAAGUAAUCCAAAGCAAAAAUUACACUGGAACCAAGACUGCAUGCUCAAACCAGGAAUGAAUAUCUAAAUGUACUGGAAGUGGUAAUGCUUAUCUGGUAUUUUUUAAUUAAUUGUACUUUUAAGUAGUAUUUCAAUGCUCUGCAAACUCCCAAAGUAGUUAACUGUGGCUCUUUUUGAAGUGCUGGGCAUGUCUGAUGAGAGUUACAGAUUUUCUCCCCUUUGACCUGAAUCUUUAGGCUGAAACAUGAGUACUUGUCUCUACAGCAGGUGAAGGGGAGCCCUCCAAACAGCUUCAAAUUCACCUGACUCCAGAAGCUGGGGCUGAGAAGCAACCAACAAACCUCUGGUUCCCAGAAUCCCCCAGUAAGCCUAGAGGAAGUAUCUUUACCCAGGUCUGUGUAGAGGUGACAAGUGUCAGAGACAGACCCUACACCAGUGGCUUGCAGAAAAGCAGAAAACAUCCUCUACCAGUGCUGUGAAAUCAGCUGGUCCUAAGAUACAAAUGCCAUCAGUGCAAUGCUUAAGGUAAGCUGCCAUUUAUAGAACUAAUUCCAGCCAGCUCCUAUCAGAGCACAAACCCUCCCAGCAGAGCUG
Molecule: long non-coding RNA, 4410 nt
Organism: Taeniopygia guttata (zebra finch)
Lineage: Eukaryota; Metazoa; Chordata; Aves; Passeriformes; Estrildidae
Source: Ensembl